Molecule: ribosomal RNA, 480 nt
Filed under: uncultured bacterium
Lineage: Bacteria
Description: partial 16S ribosomal RNA
Rfam family: Bacterial small subunit ribosomal RNA
Source: RNAcentral
GAUGAACGCUGGCGGCGUGCUUAACACAUGCAAGUCGAACGAAGCACUUUAUUUGAUUUCCUUCGGGACUGAUUAUUUUGUGACUGAGUGGCGGACGGGUGAGUAACGCGUGGGUAACCUGCCUUGUACAGGGGGAUAACAGUUGGAAACGGCUGCUAAUACCGCAUAAGCGCACAGCAUCGCAUGAUGCAGUGUGAAAAACUCCGGUGGUAUAAGAUGGACCCGCGUUGGAUUAGCUAGUUGGUGAGGUAACGGCCCACCAAGGCGACGAUCCAUAGCCGACCUGAGAGGGUGACCGGCCACAUUGGGACUGAGACACGGCCCAAACUCCUACGGGAGGCAGCAGUGGGGAAUAUUGCACAAUGGGCGAAAGCCUGAUGCAGCGACGCCGCGUGAGCGAAGAAGUAUUUCGGUAUGUAAAGCUCUAUCAGCAGGGAAGAUAAGGACGGUACCUGACUAAGAAGCACCGGCUAAAUACGU